CUUCCAGAACAAAGCGUGGGCCCCACAUGGUGCUACCUCCCAGCAAGAAAGGGGUUGGGAAACAAAGGGCUGGGGCCCAGUGAGCCCCCCGAUUUAUGUUUUCCAGACCUGUCUUCCUCGCUGGAAGUUUUGCGUGAGUGACACAGAAAACAACCUGGGCUUUGCGUUGGGCCCCAUGUUCGUCAAAGCAACCUUCGCCGAGGACAGCAAGAGCAUAGCCACCGAAAUAAUCCUGGAGAUCAAGAAGGCAUUUGAGGAAAGCCUGAGCACCCUGAAAUGGAUGGAUGAGGAAACCCGAAAAUCAGCCAAGGAAAAGGCCGAUGCCAUCUACAACAUGAUAGGAUACCCCAACUUCAUCAUGGAUCCCAAGGAGCUGGACAAAGUGUUUAAUGACUACACCGCAGUUCCAGACCUCUACUUUGAAAAUGCCAUGCGGUUUUUCAACUUCUCAUGGAGGGUCACUGCCGACCAGCUCAGGAAAGCCCC
Molecule: small RNA, 486 nt
Filed under: Pongo abelii (Sumatran orangutan)
Lineage: Eukaryota; Metazoa; Chordata; Mammalia; Primates; Hominidae
Description: retained intron
Source: RNAcentral